Eleginops maclovinus (Patagonian blennie) is the source of this 1255-nucleotide long non-coding RNA. RefSeq lists it as uncharacterized. The record is from RefSeq and is a predicted model, not a curated record. The transcript is spliced from 3 exons. NCBI's taxonomy places the organism in Eukaryota, Metazoa, Chordata, Actinopteri, Perciformes, Eleginopidae.
GAUAAACAGGUGUCAGUUUCCCGUGGGAAUCUUUUGAUCGCGCACCUGAGAGUUGGACACAGGAGAGCACAGGUGCGCGGAACAUCCACCCACCGACUUCUACAAAUAACAACAUGAGUUCAGAUCGCCUGCAGACACAACCGCCUCAAAUAAAGGUCCGUUAUUAUUGUUAAACCGUUAGAGUGGCGUCGGGGCGAUUAACACACCCUGCCAGACAGCAGACAAAUUAAAAUCUCGUCACCUCGGAGGCCACCGCCGGCACGGUCACCGCCUUCUCACCGGCAGGAGAACACAAAGAGCCUACAGGCUGCAGACACUGCGUUCAAUGUGACGCUGAAUGUGAAGACGCAUGGUGUGGAGCCAUACAUGACAGCCUAAUUCACAGUGAUAGAAAAUGCAGUGAGAAAUGCUACAAAGAAAAACACAUUAAAGGAUAUUCCAUUUGUAACCGCCGAGGAGAUGGUGCAGCAUGUCACAAAAUAACAACAACAAGCUUCUAGCUCGGAAACAGCUGCCUUAAAUAAUGCAAUUCCAACAGAACUUACUUUGAAAAGACAAACACAUGAAGGGACGGAUAAAAACGAAAGCACGUCCGUUGAUGCUUCUUAAUGUUAACACUAUUUUUAGCCAUUCUUGCAGUGUUGAUGUCUGUGUGUGUCUGGGUGUGUGUAACACUUUGGUCUAGACUAAUUUAUUGCAAAGACUAUCGUAUGUGUUGCAAUGAAAUACAGUCUAACUCGUGUACCAAGAUGAUGAAUCCUCAUGACUUACACAAAAGGUAAUCCUCUGACUCUGAAUCCAAAGCAACUAUCAUGUGGAAAUGUAUUUUUUCAACCUAAUUAGCCCGAUUUAAUUAACGUCUAAAUACCAGAGAGUUAUUCCUUUCAGCCUUGUCUGUACUUUGGUGCUUAUCGGCAAAUGUUAGCACGUAAACGCACCAAACAAAGAUGGCGAGUUUGGUUAAAAACACUUGCUAAAAACCAUUAUGUUAGCAUUGCCUUUGUGAGAUUUGUUUGCAUGUUAAAUGUAUAAAAAACCCUCUAAAGAAUAAUGUAUCUUUACUGCAUCACAGAGCUGCUAUGGCUGAAAUGGGUUUUUCCAGUACUUAAAUGAAGGCUGUAAUUUAAAAAUGUAAAUAAUUGUUUAGCUUUUUUAAAAAUGUUUUUUGAGUGUAUUCACAAUUCCUCGACUAUAUUUUGUCGAUGUUCCUGUUUUAUUAAAUUGUACAAAUAAACUUCAAAGUAUUAACACGUUG